Molecule: ribosomal RNA, 253 nt
Filed under: uncultured bacterium
Lineage: Bacteria
Description: partial 16S ribosomal RNA
Rfam family: Bacterial small subunit ribosomal RNA
Source: RNAcentral
UACGGAGGAUGCAAGCGUUAUCCGGAAUGAUUGGGCGUAAAGCGUCCGCAGGUGGCUGUGUAAGUCUGCUGUUAAAGAGUGAGGCUCAACCUCAUAAAAGCAGUGGAAACUACACAGCUAGAGUGCGUUCGGGGCAGAGGGAAUUCCUGGUGUAGCGGUGAAAUGCGUAGAGAUCAGGAAGAACAUCGGUGGCGAAAGCGCUCUACUGGACGGUGACUGACACUCAGGGACGAAAGCUAGGGGAGCGAAUGGG